Molecule: long non-coding RNA, 346 nt
Organism: Cercocebus atys (sooty mangabey)
Lineage: Eukaryota; Metazoa; Chordata; Mammalia; Primates; Cercopithecidae
Exons: 3
Source: RefSeq, a predicted model, not a curated record
CUCUUAACUCCAGUAAUUGAAUGGUCCAGUAAAGUUUGAAUGGACAAGAAAUGGUCAUCAAAUAGUGAACUUCACAAAUCUGGCAAGAAGACAACACAAGGUUUCCUGGUAGCCAAUUUCAAUAUUUAACUGCCACAUUCUCAACACUACCUUCAUUGAGGAGCAUAGCCCAGGAGGAAGGAACUGUGGAGAACUCCCUGUACUCUAUACAUGGCCUGAUUGCUGAGUAAUGCAUAGAAGUUGGUCUUGGAAGAUCUGAGCACUGUCUUGAAUAUGUGAUUCACCUGCUAUGUGAUUUGUAAGUGUCAUUUAAUCUAUCUGAACCUCGGAUUUCUCCACUGUAAAA